Molecule: non-coding RNA, 21 nt
Filed under: Arabidopsis thaliana (thale cress)
Lineage: Eukaryota; Viridiplantae; Streptophyta; Magnoliopsida; Brassicales; Brassicaceae
Source: RNAcentral
UACGUAUAGUUUCUGGUGUAC